UCGAACCUUAAUCCGAAAAGGAACAACUUGCGAACGCGUAAUCACACAUGCGGCGCGUGGGGACUUUAACCGGUCCUCACGCUCGCCUAGUCCGUAGGGGCAUGUGCAUUCCGACGAGUGCACACUCGUUGGGCUGCACGUGGCUCUGUCGGAAUUCACCAAACCCCGGCGCGGAAAGCGUCAAGGACCUUUCAAACGAAACAGCUCACCCUGAAUGCAGCCUGUUAGGUUCGUAUUCGUGUGUUGCUGCGACCAUAAGUCUAAAACGACUCUCGGCAACGGAUAUCUCGGCUCUCGCAUCGAUGAAGAACGUAGCGAAAUGCGAUACUUGGUGUGAAUUGCAGAAUCCCGUGAACCAUCGAGUUUUUGAACGCAAGUUGCGCCCCAAGCCGUCAGGCCGAGGGCACGCUUGCCUGGGUGUCACGCAUCGUCAUCUCCCCCACCCGUCUAAGCUUUCGCUUCGGGUGGAGAUUAAGGAGAAGGAGAUUGGUCUCCCGUGUGUUACCGCACGCGGUUGGCCUAAAAUCGAGACAAGGGGGCGAGAAGCUACCUGACGAGCGGUGGUGUGUAGAUGCCUCGUGCAAAAGUCGGCUGCUUUCGUCCCAACGGAGUCUGUGACCCUUUAAGCGUCGCUUGUGCGAUUUCUUCGGACGCGACCCCAGGUUCAAGCGGGA
Molecule: ribosomal RNA, 674 nt
Filed under: Tarenaya tucumanensis
Lineage: Eukaryota; Viridiplantae; Streptophyta; Magnoliopsida; Brassicales; Cleomaceae
Description: eukaryotic LSU rRNA
Rfam family: 5.8S ribosomal RNA (bases 268-423)
Source: RNAcentral